This 502-nucleotide ribosomal RNA is filed under the name uncultured bacterium. Its description in RNAcentral is "bacterial SSU rRNA". It matches the Rfam family "Bacterial small subunit ribosomal RNA", at positions 9 to 526 of the family's 1533-position model. The record is from RNAcentral.
GAGUUUGAUCAUGGCUCAGGACGAACGCUGGCGGCGUGCUUAACACAUGCAAGUCGAGCGAUGAAGCUUCCUUCGGGAAGUGGAUUAGCGGCGGACGGGUGAGUAACACGUGGGCAACCUGCCUCAAAGAGGGGAAUAGCCCUCCGAAAGGAGGAUUAAUACCGCAUAAAGUUAGAGUUUCGCAUGAAACUUUAACCAAAGGAGUAAUCUGCUUUGAGAUGGGCCCGCGUCCCAUUAGCUAGUUGGUAAGGUAAUGGCUUACCAAGGCAACGAUGGGUAGCCGACCUGAGAGGGUGAUCGGCCACAUUGGAGCUGAGACACGGUCCAGACUCCUACGGGAGGCAGCAGUGGGGAAUAUUGCGCAAUGGGGGAAACCCUGACGCAGCAACGCCGCGUGGGUGAUGAAGGUUUUCGGAUCGUAAAACCCUGUUUUCUGGGACGAUAAUGACGGUACCAGAUGAGGAAGCCACGGCUAACUACGUGCCAGCAGCCGCGGUAAUAC